This 288-nucleotide ribosomal RNA is filed under the name Lacticaseibacillus paracasei. Its description in RNAcentral is "Lactobacillus paracasei partial 23S ribosomal RNA". It matches the Rfam family "Bacterial large subunit ribosomal RNA", at positions 2640 to 2925 of the family's 2925-position model. Lineage: Bacteria; Bacillati; Bacillota; Bacilli; Lactobacillales; Lactobacillaceae. The record is from RNAcentral.
AUCCGUCGCGGGCGCAGGAAAUUUGAGAGGAGCUGUCCUUAGUACGAGAGGACCGGGAUGGACGUUCCGCUGGUGUACCAGUUGUGCCGCCAGGCGCAUCGCUGGGUAGCUAUGAACGGCAGGGAUAAACGCUGAAAGCAUCUAAGUGUGAAGCCCCCCUCGAGAUGAGAUUUCCCAUUCCUAUAUGGAAGUAAGACCCCUGAGAGAUGAUCAGGUAGAUAGGCUGGAAGUGGAAGUGCAGCGAUGCAUGGAGCGGACCAGUACUAAUCGGUCGAGGACUUAACCAAG